Molecule: ribosomal RNA, 1423 nt
Filed under: Microbacterium sp. M39
Lineage: Bacteria; Bacillati; Actinomycetota; Actinomycetes; Micrococcales; Microbacteriaceae
Description: bacterial SSU rRNA
Rfam family: Bacterial small subunit ribosomal RNA
Source: RNAcentral
GGGCCUUGCGGCGUCUACCAUGCAGUCGACGGUGAAGCCAAGCUUGCUUGGUGGAUCAGUGGCGAACGGGUGAGUAACACGUGAGCAACCUGCCCUGAACUCUGGGAUAAGCGCUGGAAACGGCGUCUAAUACUGGAUAUGAGCUGCGGAGGCAUCUUCGUGGUUGGAAAGAUUUUUCGGUUUGGGAUGGGCUCGCGGCCUAUCAGCUUGUUGGUGAGGUAAUGGCUCACCAAGGCGUCGACGGGUAGCCGGCCUGAGAGGGUGACCGGCCACACUGGGACUGAGACACGGCCCAGACUCCUACGGGAGGCAGCAGUGGGGAAUAUUGCACAAUGGGCGGAAGCCUGAUGCAGCAACGCCGCGUGAGGGAUGACGGCCUUCGGGUUGUAAACCUCUUUUAGCAGGGAAGAAGCGAAAGUGACGGUACCUGCAGAAAAAGCGCCGGCUAACUACGUGCCAGCAGCCGCGGUAAUACGUAGGGCGCAAGCGUUAUCCGGAAUUAUUGGGCGUAAAGAGCUCGUAGGCGGUUUGUCGCGUCUGCUGUGAAAACCCGAGGCUCAACCUCGGGCCUGCAGUGGGUACGGGCAGACUAGAGUGCGGUAGGGGAGAUUGGAAUUCCUGGUGUAGCGGUGGAAUGCGCAGAUAUCAGGAGGAACACCGAUGGCGAAGGCAGAUCUCUGGGCCGUAACUGACGCUGAGGAGCGAAAGGGUGGGGAGCAAACAGGCUUAGAUACCCUGGUAGUCCACCCCGUAAACGUUGGGAACUAGUUGUGGGGUCCAUUCCACGGAUUCCGUGACGCAGCUAACGCAUUAAGUUCCCCGCCUGGGGAGUACGGCCGCAAGGCUAAAACUCAAAGGAAUUGACGGGGACCCGCACAAGCGGCGGAGCAUGCGGAUUAAUUCGAUGCAACGCGAAGAACCUUACCAAGGCUUGACAUACACGAGAACGCUGCAGAAAUGUAGAACUCUUUGGACACUCGUGAACAGGUGGUGCAUGGUUGUCGUCAGCUCGUGUCGUGAGAUGUUGGGUUAAGUCCCGCAACGAGCGCAACCCUCGUUCUAUGUUGCCAGCACGUAAUGGUGGGAACUCAUGGGAUACUGCCGGGGUCAACUCGGAGGAAGGUGGGGAUGACGUCAAAUCAUCAUGCCCCUUAUGUCUUGGGCUUCACGCAUGCUACAAUGGCCGGUACAAAGGGCUGCAAUACCGCGAGGUGGAGCGAAUCCCAAAAAGCCGGUCCCAGUUCGGAUUGAGGUCUGCAACUCGACCUCAUGAAGUCGGAGUCGCUAGUAAUCGCAGAUCAGCAACGCUGCGGUGAAUACGUUCCCGGGUCUUGUACACACCGCCCGUCAAGUCAUGAAAGUCGGUAACACCUGAAGCCGGUUGCCCAACCCUUGUGGAGGAGCCGUCGAAUGUGAAUCAUCU